GUUGAGCCCUCCUUCUCUGCCAACGCACGCGACCUCCUUUGCCUCUCCCCAAAAUCUCUCUCGUUUCCAUCCCAUCCCAUCCGCCGCCGCCGCCGCCUCGCCCCUAUCUACCCCGUCCAAGCAAGGCGCCGGCAACUUGAGAACAGAGAAGGAGGAGAUGCAGGGUGGCCUCAUCGGAAGGGAGCGACGAUGGCGCACGUACGGGACGAGAUCGCCGACCUCCUCUACGUCGCCGGGGACGUGUGCCUCGUGCUGAUCCACAUAUACGGUGGCUGCGAGCAAUCCACCGGCGUUGGGUCGAUGGUGCCGUGCCUCGGCAGACGGCAUCAGGUAAGGUGGAUGAGAAGCAGCGCCCCCUCUCCCGAGCCCCAUGUCCAUGGCAACAACAGUGAGGUGAGCAGCGGCAAAGGCGCCUCCGCCGAGGUGGUGGUCGGCGUUUGACGUCUAGCAGAGGUGUGUGGACUAGCAGCGGCCGCGGCGAUGUAGAGAAGUUGGAGGCCAGGAGGCCGAGAAAGAAGAUGGAGAUGGCGAGGCAGAGGAAGCGGUGGGCGGAGGCAGAGGAAGGAGAGUGGGCAAACUGCAUAGGGAGAUGCAGAGGAGACGGGUCGGCAGCAGGCAGAACGAGCAGCUGGGCGGCAAGGGCAUGGGGCUGGAGGAACCAAGAUCGACACUUCUCCAUCUGAUCUUCCGCGAGGGAACGAGUGCACUUGUACCAUCUCAGCCAGGCGAGAAAAUUGCAACAUAUCUUGUUCAUCCAGUAGAUAUGUCAACAGGAACAGAUUUGAAGGAAGAACAAGCAUUCAACCAACUCAGCCGAUCUGCUGAAUCACGAGCACUGGAGCGGUCUUUUCAGUUGAUUCCCAUGCCGCUCCUUUCGUGCUUGCCUUGAAAGGAAAGAAGGACCCUGAGAAGCAAGUAGAUGAGACUGAAAAGAAUGAGACCGCUGACAAGUCUGUUGGGUAUGAACUCCCAGAGUCCCUUUCUUUUGAUGAUUAUGCUGAAAGCGUAGGUAAGAUCAACAUCUCUACUGAAUCACAAAAGGAGAAGCAACUGAGUCAAGUCACGCCGAUAGUCAUCUUGCCAUGGUGGAAUCUCUCUCGUUGAUGUUCCCAGAUGUGUCUGCUGACUUCAUUCUUGAAGCACUAAAGGCCAAUGAAUUCGAUGCAGUAUUCACCGUUGAUAUGCUUUCCAAACUGCCAUCAGGGAAUAGACCUCCAGGAGGCCAGCCUGUACCAAGACCACUCCCAAGGCGAAUGCAACAGCCUAUGGGUGGUAUGCAAAGAAUGCCUCCUGGUGCAAACAUGGGUGCCUUUGGUGCAGGGCCCCAAGCAGGCAUGGUUGUGAUGAAUCCCAGUAACAUGCCAAUGCAGAGAGGCGCAGGUGGCCAGUUUCAUCCACAUCCACACCAGUUGAGAAGGAAGGCAGAUCAAGGGAUGGGGAUGCAGAACCCCGGGUACCCUCAGCAGAAGACGCGCUUCUGACAUCCCCCCUCCUGGGCACCAACAGAUAUAAAUGUACUCACAACAUCGUCAUGUAUGUGCGUCAGCCAGAUAGAUAUACAUUGUCUGGUGACCGUGUAAGCCUGUUGUUGUUAUUGUUGUUGUAGAUUUAUAAUGCUUAUCUACUAGCUUGGUAAGUUAAAGUAGCCGUAAGGGUCAUUGUAGAGGAAAUUUGGAUAAUUUCCUUUCACAGUGGCUGAGUUAAGCUGGUGAUUAGGGCGGCGCCGCGGCGCUGAGGAAGGGGCCGUGGACGAGGCCCAGUGUAGCGAAGCCAGCCCGAGCAAGGCAGCCAUCAUGGUGAGUUCGAGCAGGCAGCGGGUGGCAGGCAGUGAGAGCGGCCUCCUCAAGCGCGGUGUCAUCAUGGAGAUCGAGUUCGUAGCCUCCUCGCACUAAGGUUACAUUUCAAUUCUCUUUCUUUCAUGAGUAGGGUUUGCUGAUGCAUCUUUGAAAGUUGUUUUUGCCAUGCCAGGCUUGUCUAUUUGUGUUGUUUCAGUGUAUUACCUACUAGAACAAUUACUAGCAUAUAGUCCUCCACAAUCAUUUUUAUCUUCUGACAUAAUAAGCAGAGUUGCUGCUGCAAACUUGGCAUUCAGUGUAUUAUGUACUAGAACUUUUAUCUUCUAAUAAGCAUAUAAUCCUCCACAAUCCUUUUUAUCUUCUAGCAUUCAGUGUAUUACCUACUAGAACAAUUACUUGGCAUCUUUAAGUUUCAAGAGAGGUGAUCGGUUAUUGCAGAAUGAAUGAGAGUGUUUGCAAAUGUAGUUAAUUUGGUCAAUCUUGCCUGAAGAUUCAUGGUGACCUUGUUCAUGUCAAAGGUAUCUCCCUUCUGAAUAUCACUUUUUUUUUUUGUAGUUUUCUAAAAUUUUAAAUGUGAUCCUUUUCUUUUGAAUGUCAUAAUGGCCUUUGAUACCACACAACUCUUGCCCCAUCUUAAGUUUGACAACCUUUUGAGUUGCUGAUAUUGGUACUUGAGCAGCAAUUAUUGUUUUUAGGCCUGAGAAAAUCAAAGUCACUCAUUAUGAGAUAUUGUAAAUAUGUUACGGAUUCAUAUAUCAAGUAUUUAUCAGGUAGCAGAACAAUCUAUUUGUUUCCUUUGGUAUUCUCUGCUUUGGUAAUAUCAUAUGGCAUUGAACUUGGUCUUUAUUUUAAGCGCAUGUCCUUAUUGGUAAAACUUAGUUGUAUGCCAAUGGCUCCAUCCACCAGCUUGAAUUUUCUCGAUUCAUUCAGGCUUUAUCUCCAGAGAUUUUGGCAUGUCCAGUUAUUCUUCUUCAGCAUUGAUUUUUGUGAAUUAACUCAGUGUGUACCUCGCUCCAAAGAUUUUGGCAUGUUUUGUAAUUAUUCCAGAGCAUAUUGAUUUUUUUGUAUUCAAUCUGACUGUACCUCCAGAUAUUUUGGCAUGUUUAGUACUUCAGUUAUGCUUCUCGAGCAACGUUGGAAUGGUUCUCAAACUACGUAUCUUGUGAUCACUUGAGCUUUGGUGAAAACUAGAGUGCAGCUUAAUUUGUUAAUAUAUUAAUUCAUGCAGUGGAGAAGGUAUGCCAAACAUAUUUGAUCAUUUCAGCAUUUAUGAACAAUAUAUUCUGGCACUUAAACAAUGUAGAUUUGCUGAUAUUGUUCAGUGUACAUCUGUGUAUGCAUAUUAAUGAGCUCCAUAAAAUUGUGGUACAGGAAAUAAAUGCAAGAGAUAUGAAAUAACCAGGUUGUGGUACACCUCUUCUCAAUUUUUUGCCCAUUUAGACUAUCUCGAAUGCAAUCUACCAUCAGGAUAUUGGCAUCUCAUCAUCUACUACUAUUCAACGAUUUGUCGAUUUUAUGUCUCUGUAGGUAUUGUAAGGUUUUUCAGUCGUGCGACAUGUCUUCAUUACUUACCAUUUUCUGAUAUUCAUGGUUAGCUAUCAUUUUCUAUUGCUAUAUACUCCCUUUGUCUCACAUUUUCUUUUGCUAUACAGCUCGUCAAAAUCUUGUAUUUUUGUUGUUUCUUUGUGAUUAGGUAGUAUGCGACAUCUUCUUUUAAGCAUUUUAUUGGGACUUAUUGGAUGUUCUUUCCUAGAUGUUUGUUCAUUUACUAGACAGUAUGCUACCAUGCUCUAUCAUGCGUACAAUUUGUGUGUGUGCCGUCUACCGUGUAACACUGUGUGUUACUCAUCCCAUUUUGUUUGUGCCAGUGCCUUUAAAUGUGUAUGUACUAAAGUUAGUCAAGUACAGUUACUAUCUGAGGCUGUAACUUUGCAUAGCCUGGACAUUUUGGUGUUUGCAAGGGGUCUACUUGUGUUGCAUUUUCUACACCUGAGAAAAUAUCUGAGGCUGUAAGUUUGCAUAGCCUGGACAUUUCACUUGCAAACCUUGUGAGCUACUGAUUGUACAAUAUGUACUAUGUUGCUUUUAUGAUGUCUUUAAUACGAUCCUAUCAAGGGUCCAGUUGUAUUUUGUUUGUGUAAGCUGCGCUGUAGAGCUUUAUGAAGGAUUCAGGAGCCAAACUUGAAGACAUUUAUGGUCAGGUGCUUCCAGCUUUGCAAUCCUAUUAGAAUUUUGUGGGGUAUGUUUGUUUGGUUUGGAUAUGCAGACUACAACAUAAAGAGAAGGAUACCGUUUUGUGUGGGUCAUCUAGCUUGGGCAUAGUAUGGGUACUUGUGUUCUGUUUUUUUAUUUACAAAUGAACAUUGCCACUAACACAGAUUGACUAUUUAACCGAUGUGAUUUAUUUCA
Molecule: non-coding RNA, 4205 nt
Organism: Aegilops tauschii subsp. strangulata
Lineage: Eukaryota; Viridiplantae; Streptophyta; Magnoliopsida; Poales; Poaceae
Source: RefSeq, a predicted model, not a curated record